GACGGGGGGGGCAAGCGUUGUUCGGAAUUACUGGGCGUAAAGGGCUCGUAGGCGGCCAACUAAGUCGGAUGUGAAAUCCCCAGGCUCAACUUGGGAACUGCAUCCGAUACUGGAUGGCUUGAAUUCGGGAGAGGGAUGCAGAAUUCCAGGUGUAGCGGUGAAAUGCGUAGAUAUCUGGAGGAAUACCGGUGGCGAAGGCGGCAUCCUGGACCGACAUUGACGCUGAGGAGCGAAAGCUAGGGGAGCAAACGGG
This 253-nucleotide ribosomal RNA is filed under the name uncultured bacterium. Its description in RNAcentral is "partial 16S ribosomal RNA". It matches the Rfam family "Bacterial small subunit ribosomal RNA", at positions 524 to 776 of the family's 1533-position model. The record is from RNAcentral.